This 253-nucleotide ribosomal RNA is filed under the name uncultured bacterium. RNAcentral's name for it is "partial 16S ribosomal RNA". It matches the Rfam family "Bacterial small subunit ribosomal RNA", at positions 524 to 776 of the family's 1533-position model. The record is from RNAcentral. RNAcentral also lists the same sequence under 1 other name.
UACAGAGGGUGCGAGCGUUAAUCGGAAUUACUGGGCGUAAAGCGUGCGUAGACGGCUAUCUAAGUCGGGUGUGAAAGCCCCGGGCUCAACCUGGGAAUUGCAUUCGAGACUGCAUUGCUGGAGUACGGAAGAGGAAGGCGGAAUUCCCGGUGUAGCGGUGAAAUGCGUAGAUAUCGGGAGGAACAUCAGUGGCGAAGGCGGCCUUCUGGUCCAGUACUGACACUCAAGUGCGAAAGCGUGGGGAGCAAACAGG